Bradysia coprophila is the source of this 1897-nucleotide unclassified non-coding RNA. NCBI's taxonomy places the organism in Eukaryota, Metazoa, Arthropoda, Insecta, Diptera, Sciaridae. The record is from RefSeq and is a predicted model, not a curated record.
AAAUUGUUACUCAGAAUAUUCAGUUUGUGAUGGAGCUUUUGGAGUGAACGAUCGGCUUGAGGACAUUAAGUUGUUGUGAGAGAAUUUUAAUAAAUUUUUAGAUUAACUUUUAAUUACAUCGAUUGGAAUUGCAUCAACGAAUUCAAAAUCAACUUCCUCAAUAAAUGGGACGACGGAAAAACAAGCCAAGAUUAAUACCUGAACAGGACAAACGAAUAUGUGGUUCAAUUUGUCUAUGCCAACUUACCAUUGUUUUGUCCUGUGUUUCUAUCGUCUACCUCAGUGUCGCCAUCUAUCUUCCGUCGUAUAAGGCAUUUCAGUCUGGCUUCGAAGAUACCCCAGUUAUGUGUCAAACUGUUAAUACAACAAUCGCCAACAAUUGUCCGUGGGCUUCUUGUGGUGAAUGGUGUUUAACGAAAACAGGAGGUUUUUGUACUCAAAUCCAUGCAACUGUGCGACGUAAUGGAACGGAUAUUCAAUUGGAAAAUUGUACUCGCAUAGCAACGACAGGAUGUCCUCAGGUAAAACCAGAAGCAAUAAAAAAAUUCAAUUGUAACAAUGGAACCGAAUGUGCCGUUUUGAGUGGAGUGUUCAAUUGUUCUUUAGGACAUUGCAAAAAUAUGUCCGAAUUAUAUCUUUGUCAUCACAAGGCCGAUGGUGGUGUCGUUAUAGACGCUGAAAAGGACAAUCUGAAAUUGAAUGGAUUUUUCGAAUGCGUAAAUUCGAAAUGCACCAAAAUCCGAAAAGCCUUUUCUUGCGAUCGAUACUGUCCAAAGAUCACAACCGCAGUGAACGUUCUCAUCAUGCAAGACGAUAAUUUAGUUACAGCAGAAUGUGAUAUCGGGUAUGGUUACAAUGAAGCGAGAGGAAAGGAUUCUGGGGUGCGGCUUAGUACACCGAAAAAAAUUUGGGAUGAAAAUAUGGGAGUUUUGCUGACGAGUUGUCACGACGUUAUUAGGGACGGCGACAAACUAAGAGCCACUGACUGCUUAAAUGGGACUUUAUUGAAACAAUCAGAAUUACCUCAUCCUUACAUGAAUUUUACUCAAUUUUGGAAAAUAUACGAAAACAGUAACGAAGUAUUGGAUCCCAACGAAAUAUUUUUACCGAAACAGUCAAGUGUGACGAUAUACAACACCAGUAAAUUGUUCAUCAAUCUCGAAGGAUGCGUUAACACAUUACGGGGUGAAUGCAAUGAAUUCGUUGCCAUGUAUGGCCGAGAUGGCGAUAAUAAUACAGCCCAAUCGAGAUUUCGGUGUUUCUACAAUAAACACAAUCCAGCAUUCGUCGUUCUUCGAUUUGAUUUGGAUAAAACGUGGCGUGAACUUUUGAUUGCCGUGUGUGUUCCCGUUUCAUUAUUCGUCAUUUCAUUCAUUGCUCUGUGUAUUAUCACAAAAUCAGUGAAGGUGGGAGAUGACUCAAAAAUGAGAUGUAAAUAUUGUGCCGGCGAAACAUCGGACGCUGAAGAUAACAAUUAUACUAGCAAAUCGAAUCAUAAAAGUAAUUGCCCAAUGGAAUCACAAGAGCCGUGCCUAUCACCUUUGACAAAUCCAAAAAUAUACAGCACAAUACACGAGUAAACUUACACAGUCGCUGCCUAAUCGCAAUGUUCCAUUACGAUAAAUUAACUAAACAAAUGUUGCUGUUGAUGUUGUUAUACGCACUAGCACCAAUUAUUUACUGUGUUUGCACCAAAAUGCACAUAAUAUGGAUGUUGUUUAGAGCUUCUAAAUGCUAUAUUGAACGCUAGUUCCUUAACGCUAAGUAAGAUCAACGGAUUCAACCAUCUGCUCCUCCUAUCGAAUCAUUAGCAACAACCGAUGACCAACAAUUUCAAUGCAGUACAAAAUCUUUGAAACUUAGUCCUUGUACCGAAACGACAGAAAAAAGUUUGUCA